CCAAUCAUUUCAAUCCCUAUUUUUCCUUUUUGGCGAUUUGCUCUAGGUCAUUUCCUCGGAGAAUUAUGCCAUCUAUUUUCUCUCCGGCGUCUCUCCACUUCUAUCUCAGGCAAACCACUUCUCCUCCCUCUUCCUCCCAUGUCCUUUCUUUUUCAUUUUCAUCCACUCAUGGGUAUACCCAAGCACACCAAAAUACAUUAUCAUAUCAUCAAUUAUAAAAUAUCAAAUUUGUAAAUUUUCAGUCAAUUCAGUUUUAAACCAGCACUACCAGAUCAUGGCGGAGAGUUUUUAUUACCAUUUUAACCACUCGUUAAAAACCUUUAAAAAUUCAGAAGGAUGCAAUAGGUAUUAUUGUCAUUAUAAACGUAUAAUAAUAAACAAUCCGAAUACAAAAAAAUAUAUAUACGUAGCUGUUAUAUUUGAUUUGCAACCAAAAUUGAUUUCAUCUCAAGAAAGAAGCAAGACAACAUGAGGAAGAGAUGGGGAGAUGGGAAAAGAAAAAGGACGAGGGAUCUAAGACAGAGAGCAAACCUGAAGAAGAUGAUUGUUUCAUGAAAUUUACGACAAUGCCCUUUGGCUAAUUAAGAAACAGUGACAAUUGGAAGGGCAAAUAAUGGGAAGAAAAAUUGGGUACAAUGCUAACAUAUAUUCUACUUAUUUAGAAGGGGGAGUUGAGGUGCUCUUUGUCGUCCUCUUUGGGCUAUUUUUGGAAUUUCAAUCCCUGCUUCGGGGUUAUUUUUGGAAAUAUGUCCUCUAAGUGGCUUAAACCUUUUCUCGUGUACAUUCUUUUUGUUCAACACGGUUUUUGCUAUUCGAGAGUUCUGAUUGAAUUGAACUCAAGCCCAAGUUGCUUCCACUAUAACUCUUCACACCAAACUCCAAAGCAAGACUGGAGAAGAUGACGAUUUGUAAUAAGAUGUUUGCCGCGUCUAUCAGGUGUUGAGGUGUACUUUGCUUUGUCAAACACGUGGUGUGCAAUUCUUCAAUCUUCCCUUGUGUCUGUGUUGGUCGAUUUUCUUUUUGCGGCUGCUAGGUGAUUCAUUUUUCUUCUGCCUGCCGUUCUCCGUGUUGGCAUUACUGAAACAUAAAAUUAUGAGUUCUGCUGAGAGGUUUCUAAGGUGAUUGGAGUACUUACCCUCAAGGAGGUCAAAUUUUUUAUCAAUGGAUCCGUGGCAAAGAAGAGGUUGACAUGCUACACUUGUUAUUUGGAAUGAAGGUUUCUGCAGUGCAACUGCAUUUGACUCUGUAUACACCUUCCAUGAGAAGCUUGCAUGUUAUUGUGGAAAGUAUGGACCAUCUUUGGAGGAAAUCAAGUUUUUAUACAGCUAGGAUCUAGCCUAGGCUACAACACACUUUCGUUAGGAUCUUCAAUUGUAUGCUUGGUAAUAUGGAAGUGAAGUAGUGCUUCCUGGUUACAUUAAAGAGGACAACAUUAAAGGCAUAUAUGACACUCUUGAGGAGUGUGCUUUAUUGACAAACCAACCGCAGGGAAUGUAUAUAGUAAGUUCAUUCUUCGAUCUUCGUAUGACUUCUUUGAACUCCCUUUAGACAAGCUACUCGAAAUCAAACUUACACCAUAUCUCUCUCAAUUGAAAAAUGUUCUGUAUUCUAAGACUACUGCAGGGGUUGAUAGCUCAAUUUCUUGGCCGGACAAGCUUUGGUAGGAAAAUUACUUAUUCUUUUUCAUUCUUUAACUCUGCGUUUCUUAUUUCAAUAUCUUCUUAGUUGUUUGGCUAAUCUGCAAGAAUGUGACUCCUCAUGAGAAUCAUUUGAUUCAGUUAGUUUACAAUAUCCAAUGUAAAUAUGCUGAAUUCUACAUUCAGGUUUAGUGGUUUCAACUCCUUUAUUCUUGAUAAAAAAUUAAUUUCAAAUCAUUUCUUCCGGCUUUUCAGGCGAUUAGUCUUUUCAAAGAAAUAACUUUGAUUGGCUGAAGAGCUGUGUCAAUUGAUUACCCAUGAAUCAUAGGAACUCAACCAAAGUUGUCCCGAGACAAGGUAUUGCUAAGCAUUUUACUAAGAAUGGGUUAUUAGAAAUGGAUGAAGAGUGACUAACCAGUACUCCUUUAGAUCCAAUAGAUGAUACAAGAAAAGAAGAGUAGAAUAAGAAAGCAAAAUGAUGUUGCUACUUUCUACGACAAGUCCAGCCUUUAAAACACAAGUUGGCCAUUUAGCAUGCCUAUGGUUUGAAUAUUUUAGACAUGAGCUAGAGUAGGCAAAACACAGUAUAAAGUGAAGCUUGUUUGAUAUUUAAAAGGUGUUUUCUUGUACUCCAUAGAUUCUCAUUCUUAAUAGUACAUGCUUAAUGUUUAUUGACUUUAAAAUUGUUCAACGACAACAUAGCACCUUUGUUGAUCGGUUUCUAGGAUUUAAUUUCGCUACAUCUAAUUUCUUGCUAGCUGCCAAGGAAAGCAUCUGUAUUUUCAAAGGAAAAGAAAGAAAAUAAAGUAUUUAUAUUCUGUAUAAUUCAUUCCUUUACUCCAAUUGAAAACAACGUUGACGUACUGUGCAUUGCAAUUUAAAGACUUUAUCUAGGUUUUCAGUAAGUUUUUCCUUUGACACAAUAAUUUAAAAGUGCAAAUAUUUAUUAUGCUGCUGCUAUCUUUAUUAUACUAAAACGUUUUGGAGUUGGUUCACUUGAAGCUGUGGUUUGUUACCUCUUUAAAGUCUUCAGGAUAAACUCUUUUUUAGGCUGUUUCGGUAUAUAAGCCUAGGAG
Molecule: non-coding RNA, 2713 nt
Organism: Nicotiana tabacum (common tobacco)
Lineage: Eukaryota; Viridiplantae; Streptophyta; Magnoliopsida; Solanales; Solanaceae
Source: RefSeq, a predicted model, not a curated record